Molecule: ribosomal RNA, 274 nt
Filed under: uncultured bacterium
Lineage: Bacteria
Description: partial 16S ribosomal RNA
Rfam family: Bacterial small subunit ribosomal RNA
Source: RNAcentral
AUACGGAGGGUGCAAGCGUUACUCGGAAUCACUGGGCGUAAAGCGCGUGCAGGCGGCCAUUUAAGUUGGAUGUGAAAGCCUACGGCUCAACCGUAGAACUGCAUCCAAAACUAUUUGGCUAGAGUGUGGGAGAGGAAGAUGGAAUUAGUUGUGUAGGGGUAAAAUCCGUAGAGAUAACUAGGAAUACCAAAAGCGAAGGCAAUCUUCUGGAACAUUACUGACGCUGAGGCGCGAAAGCGUGGGGAGCAAACAGGAUUAGAUACCCCAGUAGUCC